GGAAGGUAAUAACAUCGAACGUGUCUUCUGUGGGGAGUAACUGCCCGAAACGACGAGCUAAUACCGCAUGAGACCUGAGGGUGAAAGCGGGGGGAGUCGCAAGACCUCGCGCUGAAGAGCGGCCGAUGUCCGAUUAGCUAGUUGGUGAGGUAAAAGGCUCACCAAGGCGACGAUCGGUAGCUGGUCUGAGAGGACGACCAGCCACACUGGGACUGAGACACGGCCCAG
This 228-nucleotide ribosomal RNA is filed under the name uncultured bacterium. Its description in RNAcentral is "partial 16S ribosomal RNA". It matches the Rfam family "Bacterial small subunit ribosomal RNA", at positions 105 to 334 of the family's 1533-position model. The record is from RNAcentral.